AUUGAACGCUGGCGGCAUGCCUUACACAUGCAAGUCGAACGGUAACGCGGGGCAACCUGGCGACGAGUGGCGAACGGGUGAGUAAUAUAUCGGAACGUGCCCAGUAGUGGGGGAUAGCCCGGCGAAAGCCGGAUUAAUACUGCAUACGACCUACGGGUGAAAGGGGGGGAUCGCAAGACCUUUCGCUAUUGGAGCGGCCGAUAUCAGAUUAGGUAGUUGGUAGGGUAAAAGUCUACCAAGGCAACGAUCUGUAGCUGGUCUGAGAGGACGACCGGCCACGCUGGGACUGAGACACGGCCCAGACUCCUACGGGAGGCAGGAGUGGGGAAUUUCGGACAAUGGGCGCAAGCCUGAUCCAGCCAUGCCGCGUGUAGAAAGAAGGCCUUCGGGUUGUAAACCACUUUUGUCAGGGAAGAAACGCUCUGGAUUAAUACUCUGGGGUAAUGACGGUACCUGAAGAAUAAGCACCGGCUAACUACGUGCCAGCCGCCGCCGUAA
RNAcentral lists this ribosomal RNA (498 nucleotides) under uncultured bacterium. RNAcentral describes it as "partial 16S ribosomal RNA". It matches the Rfam family "Bacterial small subunit ribosomal RNA", at positions 30 to 523 of the family's 1533-position model. The record is from RNAcentral.